RNAcentral lists this ribosomal RNA (497 nucleotides) under uncultured bacterium. RNAcentral describes it as "partial 16S ribosomal RNA". It matches the Rfam family "Bacterial small subunit ribosomal RNA", at positions 28 to 507 of the family's 1533-position model. The record is from RNAcentral.
GAUGAACGCUGGCGGCGUGCCUAAUACAUGCAAGUCGAGCGAACAGACGAGGAGCUUGCUCCUCUGACGUUAGCGGCGGACGGGUGAGUAACACGUGGAUAACCUACCUAUAAGACUGGGAUAACUUCGGGAAACCGGAGCUAAUACCGGAUAAUAUAUUGAACCGCAUGGUUCAAUAGUGAAAGACGGUUUUGCUGUCACUUAUAGAUGGAUCCGCGCCGCAUUAGCUAGUUGGUAAGGUAACGGCUUACCAAGGCAACGAUGCGUAGCCGACCUGAGAGGGUGAUCGGCCACACUGGAACUGAGACAAGGUCCAGACUCCGACGGGAGGCAGCAGUAGGGAAUCUUCCGCAAUGGGCGAAAGCUUGACGGAGCAACGCCGCGUGAGUGAUGAAGGUCUUCGGAUCGUAAAACUCUGUUAUUAGGGAAGAACAAAUGUGUAAGUAACUAUGCACGUCUUGACGGUACCUAAUCAGAAAGCCACGGCUAACUACGUG